This 209-nucleotide unclassified non-coding RNA is filed under the name Ascomycota sp. Its description in RNAcentral is "partial contains small subunit ribosomal RNA, internal transcribed spacer 1, and 5.8S ribosomal RNA". The stretch from base 1 to 47 matches the Rfam family "Eukaryotic small subunit ribosomal RNA", at positions 1785 to 1831 of the family's 1831-position model. The record is from RNAcentral. Lineage: Eukaryota; Fungi; Ascomycota.
AAAGUCGUAACAAGGUUUCCGUAGGUGAACCUGCGGAAGGAUCAUUAAUAGAGGAGGGCCUCUGGCCCAACCUUCCACCCCGUGUCUUGAAUACCUUGUUUCUUUGGCGGGCUCCGCCCGUCAGAAGCAUUCUCAAACUCGAUAACAUGUUUCUGAAUAUCAAAUGAUAUAAUAAAGCAAAACUUUCAACAACGGAUCUCUUGGUUCUG